GAUGAACGCUGGCGGCGUGCCUAAUACAUGCAAGUCGAGCGAACGGACGAGAAGCUUUCUUCUCUGAUGUUAGCGGCGGACGUGUUAGUAACACGUGGAUAACCUACCUAUAAGACUGGGAUAACUUCGGGAAACCGGAGCUAAUACCGGAUGAUAUUUUGAACCGCAUGGUUCAAAAGUGAAAGACGGUCUUGCUGUCACUUAUAGAUGGAUCCGCGCUGCAUUAGCUAGUUGGUAAGGUAACGGCUUACCAAGGCAACGAUGCAUAGCCGGCCUGAGAGGGUGAUCGGCCACACUGGAACUGAGACACGGUCCAGACUCCUACGGGAGGCAGCAGUAGGGAAUCUUCCGCAAUGGGCGAAAGCCUGACGGAGCAACGCCGCGUGAGUGAUGAAGGUCUUCGGAUCGUAAACUUCUGUUAUUAGGGAAGAACAUAUGUGUAAGUAACUGUGCACAUCUUGACGGUACCUAAUCAGAAAGCCACGGCUAACUACGUG
Molecule: ribosomal RNA, 497 nt
Filed under: uncultured bacterium
Lineage: Bacteria
Description: partial 16S ribosomal RNA
Rfam family: Bacterial small subunit ribosomal RNA
Source: RNAcentral